UUGAUGCCUUGACAUGCUAUUUUCAAGCACAUAUCUCCAACUUUGUGUGUGGCGUUCACUAUAUUGUGUGGGGAAUUCUCGGCACAGACAAGGUGAUUAGUGCUUCACCAAUCAUUGACAGAGAAUUCGAGGCCCAGAAAAGGGAGAUGGUUUCUUGAAGGCCAUCUUCACCAGUUCUAAUGGUACCAGGGCAUCUGCUAGGGCAAUUCAUUACACAGAGGGGGUCAAAGGACUGCAAGCAAAUGACACGAUCACCACCAGUCGUGAUUCAGAGAGAUAAUAAUGGAGGAGAGAAGAGCCCGGCAUGCUGUGGUCCAUGGAAUCACAAAGAGCUGGACAUGAUUGAACAACAAAACAACAACAAAAAUCCCCAGAGCCUGGUACAGAGCUUGGUACAUAGUAGGCACUUAUUACAUGCUUAUUGAUUGACUGAUUCACAGGGCCAACAGAGAUCUGAUUAAACAUUUUAAUCAAUGACUUAGAUAAAAAGCAUAAAUGUCCUGCUUAUCAAAUUCGUGUAUAUUGUGGUGUGGAUCUGUGGUCUGAUUGAGGAAGGGAACUCCCAGUGUGGAAACCCCCUCUAAUAAUCCAUAUUGGCAGCCAUUCUGUAAGUUGCAAUGUUAGAGAGUUACCUAGGGCACUGAGAGGUUAAAUAGCAUUACCAUGAGAAUGCUAUUUAACCUCUCAGUGUGUCUCAGAAGUAGAGUUUGAAACCAGGUCUCUCUGAGAGGUAUCUGGCUAAUUAGCUAUGCAAUCUGUUGACGCUCCAUGUUGACAAUCCAUGUCACUCUAACACACAAUUUUAAUGUAUACUGUUAAAAAAAUAAAAUAAAAAAUUAGCA
RNAcentral lists this long non-coding RNA (842 nucleotides) under Phascolarctos cinereus (koala). Its description in RNAcentral is "lncRNA (ENSPCIG00000013496.2)". Lineage: Eukaryota; Metazoa; Chordata; Mammalia; Diprotodontia; Phascolarctidae. The record is from RNAcentral.